CCCUAUAUAUGUGUGUUUCUGGGUGUUUACCUUUGCGGCUAUCAUUCUGAGACCUUGUAUGGAGCAAUAUCUUAUAUUAUAGUUCACCCAGAAGGAAACAUAAUGGUUAACAGGUAGAUAAAUUCAACCUAUGAAGUCUCUCCUCGGCUACAAGGUUGUAUAUGUUUCUGAUAGAAGUUCAGUUUAAGCACAAGUGAUAGGAUUGAACGAUUUGCAUAGCAUGGUGACAUAAAGGAAGUAAAUAAUAGACCCCUCUAGCAUAUAUGUGUAGUUUACGGUUGUUCAUUAAUUGAUUUUUGGUCGGAACCUUGAUGGGCACAUCAGCCAUAGUUCUUGCCUCUUAUUUGGAGAGCAUGAACAAAUUGGAAUUCAUUAGUGAUGGUAGAGAAAAUACUAAGUUUGCUUCCAUUCACAUUAUCAGCGGCUCCAUUCUCUGGAUAGUAAUGUUGGUUUACAUGUUGAUAUCUUUUUACUUUUCCCUUACAUUCUCGAAUUAUUUAGUUUAUUCAAAUGACAGAGCGCACAAGUUCCUUCAGGUAUCUAAAUUUGUAGUAGGACUAUAAACCGAUAAUAGUUACGGAUCAAAUAAAGUGUUGCUUGAAAGAGAAUUGCAUGAGAUGUUCCUGCUCUUGGCUCUAACCCAGUGGUUUGGCUGUGAUCAACAGUAAUCUUUUUGCUUAUUAGACUGGCAAUAUGCAUUAGAUAUAUAGGUUAGUUAACUUCUUAUCUGCCACACUGCAGAAAUAUCUACCUGGGAGGAGGCGCUGAAGUUUAGAGGCAGACGGGGGAUGCUAGAGGAUGAUAAGAAAGAUGAGGAGAAAGCUCAGGUUUAGUUCUUUAAUAAUUUUUGUUCUUUUUUUACAGUUCCCGAGAAUUAUUUGCAGACAAUGUUGUGAUGCUCCAAUAGCUAUGUUUUUAAAGCGGUAAAGCGAAGUGAGGCGCUAGGGGGUGCCUCACUGCUUAAGCGAUAAAGUGUAAAGCGAGGCGACACUUUAGACAGACUCUGAACCUGAUGGGCAGUAUAAUAGAGCACCAUUUAGUGAGACAUAUAUAUAUAUGUUGAUUCUAAUCCACCAGUGAGCACAUAUAUUAUGAUCCAUCCACUAAGCAGCAAGCAACUAGCCAACUGCUAGAGAGGCAGUAGCAGCACCUAACAGCAGAGGAGCUGUGCAUAGCAUAACACACAACAAAGCAGAAAAGGCUGGUGCAGAUCUGAGGAAGCUGCUGCCAGAGGAGAGAGGAAAGAGCUGAAAGCUUGGAUAUUUGCACGCUCUGGUUUUGGUUCUCUCUCUUGCUUUCCCCUCCUGUAACUGUUUCACAGGUGAGCCCAGUUUUCCCGCCCAACCCUUUUUCCCCGCCAGAAAUCUCAGUUCCCCUGCCUGGCAAGUCUAAGGCAUCCUCUCUGCCCUAAAGCGCCAAUCAGGACGCUUAAGCAGGCGCUUUAGACGCUUUAGUGUCAAAGGCGGAUGCCUUAGACACAUGUCUAAAGCGAGUUGGACGCUUUGAGCCUGGAGGGCGCUCUAACACGACGCUUUAGGGACGCUUUACAAACAGAGUCCAAUAGUGUAAUGGUAUUGUUCUUAUAGUGCAAUAUCCUACGAUGACAACUAUAAAUGUCCUACUCUAUUUGUUAGGAUAUUCUAUUCAUGCUAUAUUCAUUGUUAGUUUUGUCUUCAUCCUACUUUUUAUGGAUAUUUCCUUUAUCGCAUCCACUGGACAUGAGUAACCCGUGACAUUUUACAUGUUUUUCUUCUAUAUAGUGGAGGUUUCAUCAAAGCAAACUGGUUCCACGGAGGUUUCAUUAGAGCUAACUUUGUGUUUUAUCAUCUUGGAAACAUUACUAUUUGCUUAGAGGAAAGACCAAGCAACAUCUACUUUUAAUUGGAAUAAUUAUUCUAGAAGACAUAUUCAGUUUACUAUAUCACAUAAUCAUUUUUCCUCUGUUAAGUAAUAAGUAUAAACCACAACUUGUGUAGAAAACACAAAUUUUAAUGAAGGGUACCGAGCAAUUAAGGGUGUCCCAUCAGGCAUUUCUUCACUUAAGAUGGAACAGAAUAACUGUCAUGGUGUUCUGUUUAUAUUUGAACUUUACUAAAGAUAUGUUACAAUUCAUGCCUGGAGUUCAAUAUCUACUACCUGAAAUCCGCUUUGUACCUAUGGUUAUCGAGUACACAUAUAAAGUGUGCUUUAAUGCUAUAUUAAAUUCAUGCCUGUAGCCCAAUAUAUAUUGCCUUAAUUCUGCUUUCUACCCAUGGUUAUUAAGUACAUACACAUGCUUUAUUGUUUAUUAGAUUCUGGACUGUAGGUCUGCUACUUAAUGAUGCACCCCAUGCUGAUAAGAAAAUUUAUUCGGUCUGAUAAGAUAUAUACUGAACAGAUGAAUGGCAGGAUCAGUAAGCUUUCUUCUUGAUUAUGGUUUCUUCUGCAUUCUCAAUGUUGUAUAUAUCUGCCUGGGAAUUUUGUUUUGUUAAUUUUUAUAGUAUCAUUGUUAGAGAGGUUGUCUUGCCGAAUAUAGUUUUAACUUUUGGAUAUUUUUUCAUACAAGAAUUCCAAAUACAGUAAUGGCCCUUGUUGGGAACAAGGCUCUCAUAUAAGGGGAAACUUUAGAAGUAAAGCGACCAUAAAUUAAAUCAUGUGCAACUUGUUUUCUUCCUUGUUGUUUUAUUGCAUUAGAGAUAUUUAGAAUUUUGACUGUCUAAAAAUGCGGAGCAUAUAUUGUGCAGCUUUAGCUCCCCAUUCUGUUUUUCUCCCGAGGGAAAGGUUUAUGUCUAAAUUGGUGCCAUUUGCUGGCUUUAUUUUGCACGAGUUUGUUCUGGAUGUAGUUUUCUAGGCGUAUUGAUCAUCUCCCAUGCUUUGACCGAACGAGUUUUCCCUAUAUGUCUAAUAAUCGUUUUCACACACUUCUGGUUGAUAGAAUUAAGGGAACCAUCUUUGUAUGUCUAUAGUGAUUUCGGGAGGAUCCACAUGUGGAGAAGUUGGCCGCAAGGAUCAAUACUUGCAAUGACCUUAAAAAUACGUAUGAAGUUUUCAAUUUGGUAGUUUAUACCACAUGACUCAUUCACUUGCAGGCCUGAUGUGGUGUGAUCUUGUUGAUUCAUAUGGCAGACUGUUACAGGAUCAGAGGACUUAGCUGAAGGCAGGCUUGAGACUGCUGAAAAAGUGUUGGUGUGAUUCAGUGAUCCCAGUAAUUUUUCUGAUAUCAGUGUUAUUCGAGGCUCUUAAUUUCAAACACAUUCCAGUAAUUAACUAUUGACUAUAGAAGAUUUUAUUAUUGUCUAGGAUGCCUGGUUGGGUAUAACCGAAUAUAGAAUGAGCUUGUGUAUAAGCCGCUGGUGGCAUAGAGGCUUGACAAAUACGAUUGCAUUUAGUUUCUCUUUACUGUAAUUUUGUUGUGUUGCCUUCAAGAAGCUUAAGAGAUGAUCUUUGUAUUUUGUUGCAAAUAUGGCACUUGUGUGUGUACCAUGGCUUCAUUGCAUAUUGACUUUAA
Molecule: long non-coding RNA, 3487 nt
Filed under: Triticum aestivum (bread wheat)
Lineage: Eukaryota; Viridiplantae; Streptophyta; Magnoliopsida; Poales; Poaceae
Description: long non-coding RNA (TAES_LNC027556)
Source: RNAcentral